Molecule: ribosomal RNA, 498 nt
Filed under: uncultured bacterium
Lineage: Bacteria
Description: partial 16S ribosomal RNA
Rfam family: Bacterial small subunit ribosomal RNA
Source: RNAcentral
GAUGAACGCUAGCGGCAGGCCUAAUACAUGCAAGUCGAGGGAGAAUGUUGGAUUCGUCUGACAUGAAACCGGCGCACGGGUGCGUAACACGUAUGCAACCUACCUUUAACUGGGGUAUAGCUCAGAGAAAUCUGAAUUAAUCCCCCAUAAGACUACGACAUGGCAUCAUGAUGUAGUUAAAGCUCCGGCGGUUAAGGAUGGGCAUGCGGUACAUUAGCUAGUUGGUGAGGUAAUGGCUCACCAAGGCUACAAUGUAUAGGGGGUCUGAGAGGAUGAUCCCCCACACUGGUACUGAGACACGGACCAGACUCCUACGGGAGGCAGCAGUAGGGAAUAUUGGUCAAUGGACGCAAGUCUGAGCCAGCCAUGCCGCGUGAAGGAUGAAGGCCCUAUGGGUCGUAAACUUCUUUUAUUAGGGAAGAAAAAACGGGAUGCGUCCUGUACUGACGGUACUUAAUGAAUAAGGAUCGGCUAACUUCGUGCCAGCCGCCGCGGUAA